This 3897-nucleotide long non-coding RNA is filed under the name Gallus gallus (chicken). Its description in RNAcentral is "lncRNA (ENSGALG00010026728.1)". Lineage: Eukaryota; Metazoa; Chordata; Aves; Galliformes; Phasianidae. The record is from RNAcentral.
GUUUUCAGUCUGUUUUAUUUGCUAACGUUUCAAUAAGUAUUUUUGGUUUUGUAUUUUGCUGCUGAUACAACCAUUUCUUUUUCUAUCAACACAGACCAGUUCCAUUUAAAAUACACCAGAUAGGGACACCUAGAACUAGUUUUACUUGAAUAUAUGUACAGUUAUGUAUACAUUAUAUACACAUAGGCAUUAUAUAUAUAUACAUAUAUAUAUAUACACAUAUAUAUAAGGCACUGCAAAAUGUACCAUCACUUCUCUGAGACUCUUUAAUUUGCAGAAGUAGAUCAUAUUUCUCAUGUAAUUUGAAAUGUCUAACCAAGGAAUCUUUCAAAUGUUUCAGGGUUAUACAGAUAUCAGCUAUGAAAUAAGCCUUACUUUAAAAUUCAAGUUAUUGUGACAAGAUGAACAAAACCUAUUUUGACAGUAACUCUAAUCCAUUUAUUAUAUAACUGCUUCUCUCUUAAAAUAUAGAUUCACCUGUAUAAAUAGUUUCCUUUGUCUCUCCUCAUUAUGUUCCAAAAUGUGAACUGAAACUCAUCCUGCAGAAUAAAAAAAAUAACAGUGAUGGAGAAUUGAAUACAAAUGUGGAUAAUUUAUCCAUUACUUAGAGAGAGGAAAGCCAAGACCUCUGUAAGCCAACAUGUCUUUAAAUAAGAUGUACUAAAACAGUUCAUGACCUUACAUAAAUCUGUUUGACUUAGUUAACAUCAAUUGAUUAAGUUUUUGGACACGUAAUAAGGUAACCUCUGCCUCUACGGCACACAGACACAAUUGGUAUUUAUAAUGAACAUGUUUGAAUGGGUUCUUGCUCAAUAUAAUUAGUCUACAUAGGCAAAUUACAGCAUCAGAAAUCCUGAAGCAGCUGCUGUUAGGAGAGUUGGCAAUCGUGUGAAUGACAAGCCAAUCUUACACAUCAAAUGGACGCAUUUCCAAAGAACAGAAACAGACGAAGAUAGAUAGAUGAGAAGUCAUACAUCUUUGGGAUGUAUAAAUCCAGAUAGCCUGGAUAGAACAUUGUUUUUCACACUACUCUGUAGCAACAAUUCCCAAUUGUGCCGGACCACAGGAUUCCUAUUGAGUCCCACAACUUUAACAACAGACACCAGGAAAAGCUUCAUGUCGUGUUGUCCCUGCACUACCCGCUGUGGCCUGAAAGCAUGAUCCAUUCGUCACAACUAGGAGGCACUUUUUAGAAGGUUCUUAUUUUCUACUCAAAGCACCUUGAAGAUGAGCACCUGCAAUCACUUGGUGUAAUAUUUUGACACCCGUGGGUUCUGCCCUGGAGCUGGCCUGCCCGGUUCAGCUGUUUCAGUUCACGUUUUGCAGAAGCAGAAAUGAAAAGGGGCAGCACCCCCCGAACCGACUCAGCACACGAGGCCACGUCAGGCAUAGCGCACCAGGGACACCGCACACUUUAAAAUACUGAAGUGACUCAAAGGUUUAAAAAUAUAUAUAUGUAUUACGAGAGCCACAAAAAAGGUUACAGACAGAGCUCCACAAAGCCUGCACGGAUACAUUCCAACAAUUCAAGGUGGCAGAAUAGGUGAAAUACAGAUCAUAGAAACGGUUCAGCAUUAACUUUCCAGACUGUCAGAGACAGCAACCUUAACCUCAUCUUCCCCACAUAAAAAUAAAAAUUGUAUAUAUAUAUUUAUAUAUAUAUAUCUAGUCUGGACCACAGAUACAGUCCAAAGAAAACCACAUUGCAAUUCCCACAUGAGGCUUGUAGAGUAGGCAUCCCCCGAGGAGCACCACGGCAGCGCCCACAGGGUGAUCAUCUCAGGCCAAGCUGAUGUGACAUUAUGCCUCGUUAGCAAUUUCAGAACAGCAACACAGCACAGUUCAUUUGCUGCACAUGGCUAUUAACACAGCUCUGUGCAGCCCUCAGAGCUUUAACCAAACUGCAAUUACAGCUGUCUUAAUUUUAAAAAGAAAAUGCAAAUGUAAGAUAUUUGGGCAGUUCCUGCUAUCACCUUUCUUUAAAAUUCAAGACUUGAGGACUUCUUUAAUGUGCUUCCUUACAGACACAGCGCUCAGACUGUCCUAAUGACCUCCAGGAAAAGAUGCCUCCCUGAGGCUUUUUCCCCUGUUACCUUCAGGUUACGUCUGCGUCCAGUUUUGACAUGGGGGCCAAAUGCUGGUUACAUGUCAGUGCAGUAUUUGGCCCAAAGUUCCAAAGUCUUUGCUAUUCACACUUUCCUAUGAGGUCAACAAACAAAGCAGUAAAAAAAGAAAAUAUUAAGGCUUCAAGUAAAAAUAUUUCCUCUCUCUCCCACCCAUGUAGUAAGGUACAUUUAAUUUCAUAAUGCUCAAUAUAUUAUACAAUUAACGAUACAGAGAUCCAACUGUUCAAGGCAGAUUGCACUACAAUGGAAACCUGGAGGCUAAAUGGGAGUGUAUGAACAGCUAAUGAAAUGCAAUAUGCGAUGAACAUUGAUGUAUAAACUAAACAAAAUCUAUUGCUGUUUUUUUUUUUUUUAAAAAAGUAAUACAAUCCACAGCUAAAAAUAAAAGCACACUGAAAAGCCUUAAGACUUCUGAACAUGAAAUAAACAUGACAAAACCAAGAAGCUACUUUAUAAUACGUGUUAACUUGUGCUGGAUUUUCAUAGCUGAACCCACCUACUGAAAAUCAGCAUCACUUACUUAGCUUCAGUGGAGCCACACCAGUUUACACCACCUGAAGAUUUGGCUGUAGUGUCUGUAAAAACUGAGGAUUUGGGCAGAAGAAGAACUUGGCUGUUAAUCUGUGAACUGUUUGAAGAAUAAUAUUUUAGCAAGGGGGGGGAUUCUGCUCCUAAAUCAGAUGCAGUAAGUAGGUCCCCAGUCCUGCAAUAGGAGCUACUGACACAGGUGCUUACAUUUAAGAGAACGGCUGUAGGUUCAGUGCCUUGGCUGGGAAGGAGGCUGGAUUUGCUGCAUGCAAUCUCCUGUUAACAGUUCUGCUCAGCUUAUUCUGCCAGAAGAUUUGAAUGAUUUACUCCAGGCUAUGAGCACUGAAUUAUAUGCAAACCUCAAAAGAAAAGAAAGAAGACAACUUUGGUACCAUUGUAAACCAGUUACCAUGUCCAAUGUGUCUUAACUGUGCCAAAACUACUCACAAAGUACAUAAUCCUUACAUCUGAGCCUGUAAAGACACAGUGCAGUCACCCUUUCCUCCCUUCUUCUUCCAAAAAGAACCCUGGAUAUUAGCGCUCUAUACAUACACCAUUGUGUUUAGUCUUACUGAGAAAUUCUUCUCCCAUGAACUAAUGUAGUUAAUUUCAGAGGCUCUUUGGCCCUUCAAGUUCCUCAGUAGCGUUUUACAAAUGCAGGAGAAAGAAUGAUCAGAGCAGAGCAUCACUGGGAUGCAAAUCUCAAAUACAACACUGGUGCAGAUUCUCAGCUUUGCUUGCACGUAUUUCACGCACAUAUUCAUAGGUACACAAUAAUAUGUGCCCUCAUCUAGAUGAUGAGCCCAAAUUCUGCAUCACCAUCCCCUCUUUCUGCCUUACGAGUGGCAGACGUGACAUUUAACAGACAGGUAAGUCUCACGUUAAUUCUGUGCACCAGACUGAAUUCCAGCCCUUGAGGAAGUCCUGCACCUUCCUGUGGAGCUAACGUCAGGGUAGGGUUGCAGAUCAGUAACAGUUAAAGAGGGCAGAAAUCUGAGGCUGCUGGGCGUAGCCCCUUGGCCCUGCAGCUUCACCUUGAACUGAACCUUCUUUCAUCACAUGUCUGAAUAAGGUCUGACCGUCUUCAGUCAGUAGUCUCCAGUAUUCUGCCUCGGAAGACCACUCCCCUUCCCUUUCCCUAUUGUCUCCUCCCUCUGAAUGUAGACAGGCCACUGGCUACUGGGAGCAACUCUGAUUUGCCUUUGGUUUUAUCUAUUUUAACUAACAUAUCUGUAAAAUCAUC